RNAcentral lists this ribosomal RNA (833 nucleotides) under Dictyosporium sexualis. RNAcentral's name for it is "eukaryotic LSU rRNA". It matches the Rfam family "Eukaryotic large subunit ribosomal RNA", at positions 67 to 941 of the family's 3401-position model. The record is from RNAcentral. Lineage: Eukaryota; Fungi; Ascomycota; Dothideomycetes; Pleosporales; Dictyosporiaceae.
AACAGGGAUUGCCUUAGUAACGGCGAGUGAAGCGGCAAUAGCUCAAAUUUGAAAUCUGGCUUCUUUGGAAGUCCGAGUUGUAAUUUGCAGAGGGCGCUUUGGCGUCGGUAGCGGUCUAAGUUCCUUGGAACAGGACGUCACAGAGGGUGAGAAUCCCGUACGUGGUCGACUGCCUUCGCCGUGUAAAGCCCCUUCGACGAGUCGAGUUGUUUGGGAAUGCAGCUCUAAAUGGGAGGUAAAUUUCUUCUAAAGCUAAAUACCGGCCAGAGACCGAUAGCGCACAAGUAGAGUGAUCGAAAGAUGAAAAGCACUUUGGAAAGAGAGUCAAACAGCACGUGAAAUUGUUGAAAGGGAAGCGCUUGCCGCCAGACGUGCCCGUGGUGGUUCUCCUCCGCGGGCAGGCCAGCAUCAGUUUGGGCGAUCGGAUAAAGGCCUCUGUCAUGUAUCUCCCUUCGGGGUGACCUUAUAGGGGAGGCGUAACGCGAUCAGCCUGGACUGAGGUCCGCGCAUCUGCUAGGAUGCUGGCGUAAUGGCUGCAAGCGGCCCGUCUUGAAACACGGACCAAGGAGUCUAACAUCUAUGCGAGUGUUUGGGUGUCAAGCCCGAGCGCGUAAUGAAAGUGAACGGAGGUGGGAACCCUUUGGGUGCACCAUCGACCGAUCCUGAAGUCUUCGGAUGGAUUUGAGUAAGAGCAUGGCUGUUGGGACCCGAAAGAUGGUGAACUAUGCUUGAAUAGGGUGAAGCCAGAGGAAACUCUGGUGGAGGCUCGCAGCGGUUCUGACGUGCAAAUCGAUCGUCAAAUUUGGGCAUAGGGGCGAAAGACUAAUCGAACU